CCUGCAAAACGAAUCUAAGUUCCCCCUUAACCCUCUUUUUCCUCCCCAGACAAACCCAACCCAAAUGUGAUAGUUAAGGGCUAUUUAAAGGGGGUACAGCCCCUUUAAAAAAGGACACAACCUCCACCAGCGGAUAACCCCUGUACGCCCAACCCCGUGGGCCUUAAAGCAGCCACCCCCAAAGAUUGCGUCAAAGCUCCAUCAACCAAAAACCCCCAAAACCAAUGCGACUCCCUACACCCACAGCAGGCCAACCUAUAACAAUAGAUGAGUCAAUGCUAGAACGAGUAACCAGGACACUACGUCCCCCUAAGCGCCAGCCUGUAUACCAUUAACAGUAAAACCUCAAUAAUAACCACCCCCACCAUUGAACCCACCCUGUCAACCCAACUCAGGGGCGCAUACUGGAGUGAUCAAAAUCUACAAAAGGAACUCGGCAAACCUAAGACCCGACUGUUUACCAAAAACAUAGCCUUCAGCCAAACAAGUAUUGAAGGUGAUGCCUGCCCAGUGACACCAUGUUUAACGGCCGCGGUA
This 537-nucleotide ribosomal RNA is filed under the name Ara macao (Scarlet macaw). Its description in RNAcentral is "partial 16S large subunit ribosomal RNA". The record is from RNAcentral. Lineage: Eukaryota; Metazoa; Chordata; Aves; Psittaciformes; Psittacidae.